This is a long non-coding RNA of Leopardus geoffroyi (Geoffroy's cat), 260 nucleotides long. RefSeq lists it as uncharacterized. NCBI's taxonomy places the organism in Eukaryota, Metazoa, Chordata, Mammalia, Carnivora, Felidae. The record is from RefSeq and is a predicted model, not a curated record. The transcript is spliced from 2 exons.
GCCAGGGCAGGGUCUGGGCAGAGGCCUCCUCGAUCAUCCCACCCCUCUGGCAGGGGCAGACUUUGUUCAUCCAAUACACUGUCCCGGCUUCCUGCCUCCUGCUGGCCUCUGUACUGACCACUUCUCAAGGACAGAUACUAAGAGGGACAAGACAAGCCACCCCCCCCCCACCUGCAGUCACCCCACUUGAAGUCUAGACCAGUGGUCUCCAAAGAGUGUUUGGCCAUGCUCCCUAACAAUAAAAAAAAACAUUAUUGAGA